Molecule: non-coding RNA, 166 nt
Organism: Vicugna pacos (alpaca)
Lineage: Eukaryota; Metazoa; Chordata; Mammalia; Artiodactyla; Camelidae
Source: RefSeq, a predicted model, not a curated record
GAAGACAGAAGAGAGUGGGAGAGAGAGAGAAAAAAGGGCAAAUGUCAAAGCAAAUGAGGCAAAAUUCUCAAUUGGUAAAUAUGAAUGAAGGGUAUAAGAUAGUUUUUUGGUACUAUUUCUGUAAGCUUGAAAUUAUUUCUAAAUAGAAAGUUUUUUUUUAAAAAUG